Molecule: ribosomal RNA, 731 nt
Filed under: uncultured Gammaproteobacteria bacterium
Lineage: Bacteria; Pseudomonadati; Pseudomonadota; Gammaproteobacteria
Description: bacterial SSU rRNA
Rfam family: Bacterial small subunit ribosomal RNA
Source: RNAcentral
ANAGUUUGAUUAUGGCUCAGAUUGAACGCUGGCGGCAGGCCUAACACAUGCAAGUCGAGCGAGAAAGGUCUUCGGACUGAGUACAGCGGCGGACGGGUGAGUAACGCGUAGGAAUCUACCUGGUAGUGGGGGACAACAUGGUGAAAACCAUGCUAAUACCGCAUACGCCCUAAGGGGGAAAGCGGGGGAUCUUCGGACCUCGCGCUAUUGGAUGAGCCUGCGUAAGAUUAGCUAGUUGGUGGGGUAAAAGCUCACCAAGGCGACGAUCUUUAGCUGGUCUGAGAGGAUGAUCAGCCACACUGGAACUGGGACACGGUCCAGACUCCUACGGGAGGCAGCAGUGGGGAAUAUUGCGCAAUGGGCGAAAGCCUGACGCAGCCAUGCCGCGUGUGUGAAGAAGGCCUUAGGGUUGUAAAGCACUUUCAAUUGGGAAGAAAGGUUGUACGUUAAUAGCGUGCAGCUGUGACAUUACCUUUAGAAGAAGCACCGGCUAACUCCGUGCCAGCAGCCGCGGUAAUACGGAGGGUGCAAGCGUUAAUCGGAAUUACUGGGCGUAAAGCGCGCGUAGGCGGUUUGUUAAGUCGGAUGUGAAAGCCCUGGGCUCAACCUGGGAACUGCAUUCGAUACUGAUCGACUAGAGUACGAGAGAGGGAGGUAGAAUUCCACGUGUAGCGGUGAAAUGCGUAGAUAUGUGGAGGAAUACCGGUGGCGAAGGCGGCCUCCUGGCUCGA